AGCGAACGCUGGCGGCAGGCCUAACACAUGCAAGUCGAACGAACCUUUCGGGGUUAGUGGCGGACGGGUGAGUAACACGUGGGAACGUGCCUUUAGGUUCGGAAUAACUCAGGGAAACUUGUGCUAAUACCGAAUGUGCCCUUCGGGGGAAAGAUUUAUCGCCUUUAGAGCGGCCCGCGUCUGAUUAGCUAGUUGGUUGAGGUAAGGGCUCACCAAGGCGACGAUCAGUAGCUGGUCUGAGAGGAUGAUCAGCCACAUUGGGACUGAGACACGGCCCAAACUCCUACGGGAGGCAGCAGUGGGGAAUCUUGCGCAAUGGGCGAAAGACUGACGCAGCCAUGCCGCGUGAAUGAUGAAGGUCUUAGGAUUGUAAAAUUCUUUCACCGGGGACGAUAAUGACGGUACCCGGCGAAGAAGCCCCGGCUAACUUCGUG
RNAcentral lists this ribosomal RNA (434 nucleotides) under uncultured bacterium. RNAcentral's name for it is "partial 16S ribosomal RNA". It matches the Rfam family "Bacterial small subunit ribosomal RNA", at positions 29 to 507 of the family's 1533-position model. The record is from RNAcentral.